CCUACGGGAGGCAGCAGUGGGGAAUAUUGGACAAUGGGCGAAAGCCUGAUCCAGCCAUGCCGCGUGUGUGAAGAAGGUCUUCGGAUUGUAAAGCACUUUAAGUUGGGAGGAAGGGCAGUAAGCGAAUACCUUGCUGUUUUGACGUUACCGACAGAAUAAGCACCGGCUAACUCUGUGCCAGCAGCCGCGGUAAUACAGAGGGUGCAAGCGUUAAUCGGAAUUACUGGGCGUAAAGCGCGCGUAGGUGGUUUGUUAAGUUGAAUGUGAAAUCCCCGGGCUCAACCUGGGAACUGCAUCCAAAACUGGCAAGCUAGAGUAGGGCAGAGGGUGGUGGAAUUUCCUGUGUAGCGGUGAAAUGCGUAGAUAUAGGAAGGAACACCAGUGGCGAAGGCGACCACCUGGGCUCAUACUGACACUGAGGUGCGAAAGCGUAGGGGAGCAAACAGGAUUAGAUACCCUGGUAGUCCACGCCGUAAACGAUGUCAACUAGCCGUUGGAAGCCUUGAGCUUUUAGUGGCGCAGCUAACGCAUUAAGUUGACCGCCUGGGGAUACGGCCGCAAGGUUAAAACUCGAAAAUGAAAUUGACCGGNNGAGAGAGACGACGACGACGACGAGGGAGGAGG
Molecule: ribosomal RNA, 624 nt
Filed under: uncultured bacterium
Lineage: Bacteria
Description: bacterial SSU rRNA
Rfam family: Bacterial small subunit ribosomal RNA
Source: RNAcentral